AGAAAGCAAUUGUGAAGUAGAUCCUCCAGGUCCUUCAACACCUGAUUAGAAUUAUUUGGGAAGGGUGUGUGACAUUUUGCUAGUCUCACGGUGGUCUCCCAGCACGGGCUUCUGAUGACAUCAGCAGGGGUUCUUACUUUAGCACUGACCUCAUUGAACAGAGCCAGCAGGAAUGUGUAAAGGUUUGCAAGGAAGAGAGCAAAUAUAUGUCCCAGCUAUCACUUGAGGGCGAUACAUGGAUGGUAUUUCUCCAGCUCGCCGAUGGUCUCAAAGAGCAUUGGACCCACCAGACCCAACAGAGACUUAAUGAUCUCAAGCUGAGAUACAGGGUGUUUACAUCAUUAGCUGGGCUUUUACACAUAUUGUAAUAUUU
Molecule: long non-coding RNA, 373 nt
Organism: Myxocyprinus asiaticus (Chinese sucker)
Lineage: Eukaryota; Metazoa; Chordata; Actinopteri; Cypriniformes; Catostomidae
Exons: 3
Source: RefSeq, a predicted model, not a curated record